UACGGGGGGGGCAAGCGUUGUUCGGAAUUACUGGGCGUAAAGGGCUCGUAGGUGGCCAACUAAGUCAGACGUGAAAUCCCUCGGCUUAACCGGGGAACUGCGUCUGAUACUGGAUGGCUUGAGUUUGGGAGAGGGAUGCGGAAUUCCAGGUGUAGCGGUGAAAUGCGUAGAUAUCUGGAGGAACACCGGUGGCGAAGGCGGCAUCCUGGACCGGCAUUGACGCUGAGGCGCGAAAGCUAGGGGAGCAAACAGG
This 253-nucleotide ribosomal RNA is filed under the name uncultured bacterium. RNAcentral describes it as "partial 16S ribosomal RNA". It matches the Rfam family "Bacterial small subunit ribosomal RNA", at positions 524 to 776 of the family's 1533-position model. The record is from RNAcentral.